Molecule: long non-coding RNA, 1422 nt
Filed under: Salmo salar (Atlantic salmon)
Lineage: Eukaryota; Metazoa; Chordata; Actinopteri; Salmoniformes; Salmonidae
Description: lncRNA (ENSSSAG00000101224.1)
Source: RNAcentral
GACAGGUAUGCUACAGGACAUGUGGCUGAUGCCCUAGCCCAGAGUAACACUGUAUACUGUAGUAUGAACAGGUAUGCUACAGGACAUGUGGCUGAUGCCCUAGCCCAGAGUAACACUGUAUACUGUAGUAUGAACAGGUAUGCUACAGGACAUGUGGCUGAUGCCCUAGCCAAGAGUAACACUGUAUACUGUAGUAUGAACAGGUAUGCUACAGGACAUGUGGCUGAUGCCCUAGCCCAGAGUAACACUGUAUACUGUAGUAUGAACAGGUAUGCUACAGGACAUGUGGCUGAUGCCCUAGCCCAGAGUAACACUGUAUACUGUAGUAUGAACAGGUAUGCUACAGGACAUGUGGCUGAUGCCCUAGCCCAGAGUAACACUGUAUACUGUAGUAUGAACAGGUAUGCUACAGGACAUGUGGCUGAUGCCCUAGCCCAGAGUAACACUGUAUACUGUAGUAUGAACAGGUAUGCUACAGGACAUGUGGCUGAUGCCCUAGCCCAGAGUAACACUGUAUACUGUAGUAUGAACAGGUAUGCUACAGGACAUGUGGCUGAUGCCCUAGCCCAGAGUAACACUGUAUACUGUAGUAUGAACAGGUAUGCUACAGGACAUGUGGCUGAUGCCCUAGCCCAGAGUAACACUGUAUACUGUAGUAUGAACAGGUAUGCUACAGAACAUGUGGCUGAUGCCCUAGCCCAGAGUAACACUGUAUACUGUAGUAUGAAUAGGUAUGCUACAGGACAGGUAUGCUACAGGACAUGUGGCUGAUGCCCUAGCCCAGAGUAACACUGUACACUGUAGUCACUGUGUAGCCUAUGUAGCUAACUGGGUGAAUAGUCUUGUUUACAGUCUGGAGCAUGUGUACAGGGCAUGUUGUUGUACGUGUGGCUAAAGCUAAUGCUACAUCAGAUUAGUGGUACAUCUGUGAGGUUUAAUGUACUUUAGCUGUGAUUGACGCUAGUGUUAGCCUGUAGGAUCGGAUUGUUUACCGGUGCAGCUGUGUGUAAUGUUGGCUAGUAAAGGCAUGUUUUUCAUUCAGAGAGAGAUGGGGACCCUGAACAUUUAAUAUUCACUCUGACUGGGUUUCGGGAAAUCUCUUUUUAUGCUUGUGGCUAUACACUUUGGACCUGUUGAUUGAUUGUUUGAUUUAAUAUUUGGCAUUGGGGGAAAAAUAUAUACAUCCCUAUAUUAGGGUCGGGGUUCAUUUCAAUUGUCAUUUUCAAGAGUCGUGACGUCGUCAUUUAGUAACAUAUUGGUUUUUCACUUUACUUCCUGAAUUGACUGAGUUGAAAAGGAAUCAACCCUAACCCUGCUAUCUGUAUACAUACAGUAUUUAACUUUGAUCUAAACUGCAGUACAUGCUUUUGGAUAGAAGGACAGUAAAUGCCAGAUAUUUGUCAGAAUUCAGCCAGUGUUGGG